RNAcentral lists this non-coding RNA (191 nucleotides) under Ruegeria sp. Lineage: Bacteria; Pseudomonadati; Pseudomonadota; Alphaproteobacteria; Rhodobacterales; Roseobacteraceae. The record is from RNAcentral.
CCAAUAUGAAGUUGCUUCGGUGAUUUCGAUUCCGGUCGAAAACUAAGAGGGAAACCGGUGAAAUUCCGGCGCUGCCCCCGCAACUGUAAGCGGAAAGUUCGGCUGAACACGCCACUGAAACGGUGUUUUGGGAAGGCCAGCCUGAACGUUGAUCCGCGAGCCAGGAGACCUGCCGCAAGCAAGAACGAUAA